Molecule: long non-coding RNA, 1727 nt
Organism: Homo sapiens (human)
Lineage: Eukaryota; Metazoa; Chordata; Mammalia; Primates; Hominidae
Exons: 3
Source: RefSeq, a predicted model, not a curated record
GUUAUACAAGCAACUCGGGGGCAGUUUUCAAGACAGGCCAGUACAGGAGCCUCAGGGCUCAGCUGCCAGGGGAAGGAAGCCUCACUCUUUCCUCCACACUGUCAAGAUACAAACGUGGAUGGGAAGGGCACACUCCACAGAAAUUCAAAGACCAUGCACCCUGGCUGCGGAGCUCACGGAGGACAGGCCAGAUGCGCAGGAAGAGUGAAGCAAGGCCCGUGAGGCAGGUCAAACGUCAAACCGACUCUAUCGGCAUCCAGAGGGGCUGUGCAGGAGCAGACACACCUGACAGCCUCACUCCAGCUGUGUUGGUGCCAUCCCUUGGGAAGGCAGGAGGUUUCAGGAACAGGAAUCGUUGAUGGGAACAGGUGUUUAGGCCAAAGAAUUCCGAAGAGGUUGGCAUUGCUGCCUUCCCAGAUAGUGGACGGAAACAGGUGGAUGGAGGCCAGGUCACCAGCGGGGAUUAAGACUCAUGCGAUCAAAGCCCAGGAAAGAGGGACUCUACCCUGCCAACCCUCAGCUCGGCUCAGCUCAGCAGCUCGCUAACUGUGAAACUCGGACGGACAUCCUGUGAUCACUCCAACGCUUUAAAAUUCAUCAAAGCGCAGAGCGCUGCCUGGCCGCAGCCCAUUGCUCUGUUGUUCUGAGGGGCAAGGCCACAGCGACCUACAGCAGGGAAGAGACAAACACAGAUCUGGUGCAGAGAUUAUUCGGGUCAUCGAUGACAGGCAGGCAAGAAAGCAGGAGCGUUUCCUGCACGGCCACACCCAAGCAGAACCUUUUCAGGGUACUCAUCCCUUUUUAGGCUGGGCUUCGCUCCCCAGCGAGGUCAGCAGGGCCAGCUGAUUGUUUUUAUUUUACAGGUGUGGGAUUCCCUCUGGGGUCUGACUGCCACACUCAGACACAGAAGGGGCAGCAGGGGCAGGGUUUCUAGAGACAGACCUCCUCAGUCAAAUGCUGGCCACUUACCAGUCAGCAGGCUUGGAAAUGUUAUUUUGCCCCUUUGUGCCUCAGUUUCCUCAGAUGUAAAUGGAGAUAAUAAAUGUACCUAUCUCGAGGAAUAAAUAAAAUCACCCACAGGCCAGCUGUGAUGGCUCAUGAUUGUCAUCCCAAUGCUCUGGGAGGCUGAGGAGGGAGGAUCUUUUGAGGUCAAGAGUUCAAGACCAGCCUGGGCAACAUAGUGAGACUCUGUCUCUACAAAAAUUAAACAAUUGGUGGUGUGCACCUGUAGUCCUACCUACUCGGGAGGCUGAGGUGGGAGGAUUGCUUGAGCCCAGGAGGUCGAGGCUGCAGAGAGCCAUGAGUGCGUCACUGCACUCUGGCCUAGAAGACAGAAUGAGACUAUCUCAAAAAGUAAAUAAAUAAAACAGGUCGGGCGCGAUGGCUCAUGCCUGUAAUCCCAUCACUUUGGGAGGCUGAGGCAGGUGGAUCACCUGAGGUCAGGAGUUCAAUACCAGCCUGACCAACAUGGAGAAACCCCGUCUCUACUAAAAAUACAAAUUUAGCUGGGUAUGGUAGCUCAUGCCUGUAAUCCCAGCUACUUGGGAAGCUGAGGCAGGGGAAUCGCUUGAACCCGGAAGGUGGAGGUUGUGGUAAGCCAAGAUAGCACCAUUGCACUCCGGCCUGGGCAACGAGAGCAAAACUCUGUCUCAAAAAAUAAUAAUAAUAAAUAAAUAAAAAUAAAAUCACCCACAAAACAUGCUGAAAAGACACUUGGCCUGCCGGAA